GGCCCCUUGGUUUGGGAAUAUAUAAGGGGUCGGACCUGCCCGGUGACUAAGUGUUAAACGGCUGCGGUACCCUAACCGUGCAAAGGUAGCAUAAUCAUUUGCCUUUUAAUUGUAGGCUUGUAUGAAUGGUUUGACGAAAGCUGAGCUGUCUCUUUCUUGAUAUUUAAAAAUUAACUUUUAGGUGAAGAGGCCUAAUUAAAACUAAGGGACGAGAAGACCCUGUUGAGCUUGAAUGAAGUGUUAAGUAUUUAAAAGUUGGUGAUUAAUGGAUAAAUAUUAAUCGCUAAAUGUUGGUUUGUAUUUAUAGAAUGGUUUUUAGCACAGAUUUUUAGUUGGGGCGACUGAGGAACAAACAAAGCUUCCUUGAUAUUUUAGUAUAAAGAUGUUUAGUAGAUAAAUGCCAUCAGGUUAUUUGAUCCAAUAGAUAUUGAUAAAGGGAAAAGUUACCACAGGGAUAACAGCGUAAUCUUUCUGGAGAGAUCUUAUCGAAAGAAGGGUUUGCGACCUCGAUGUUGGACUAAGAUAUCCUAAGGGUGUAGAAGCUCUUGAUGGUUGGUCUGUUCGACCAUUAAAAUCUU
Molecule: ribosomal RNA, 578 nt
Filed under: Austrocochlea piperina
Lineage: Eukaryota; Metazoa; Mollusca; Gastropoda; Trochida; Trochidae
Description: Diloma piperinus partial 16S rRNA
Rfam family: Bacterial large subunit ribosomal RNA
Source: RNAcentral